RNAcentral lists this long non-coding RNA (4668 nucleotides) under Cinara cedri. The record is from RNAcentral. Lineage: Eukaryota; Metazoa; Arthropoda; Insecta; Hemiptera; Aphididae.
CUUACUUGGUUUUAUAGCCACCUUACGAAUCGAAAUAUUUAAACCACAAUUGCAUGCUUUUUAAUCGUUAAACUUAUUGAAAACUGUAGUAUGCUGUUGGAAUUUGAUGAAGCAAAUUUAAUAAAAAUAAGGUACUUAUCUAUGUUCUAAGUACCUAUAAAUAAAGAUUUAAAGGUUAUUUUUAUUUUAGAUUUUCUAUAUUAUUAUAUUAUUGUUCUUAUUUUAAACUCAAUUAUUAUAAAUCUAUUAAUAAUUGAAAUCUAGGAGAGAAAGAUGAGGAAAAAAAAAAGACAACAGUAAUCUAGAAAAUAUUAAAUAUUAUGUGGAUAGAUAUAUAAUAAUAAAUUACCUAUUUUAUGAUUUUAUAAAAAACCAAAUGUAUUUACCUUUAACAUUAUUUGUGUUAUAAUAUAAUACGAAUACCUAUAUUAUAUAGGUAUGUUAUAGUAAUAAUAUAGUAUAAAGGAAAUGAUAUACAAUUAAACUUAUCUAAAUCUAAGUUAGAAAUACACUUUAUGGUGAAGUGCAUGAGAUGAGCUAUGAAGUAUUCAUCUCAUGCAGUGUAUUAAGAAUUAUAUUAUAACAUUAAUUAUGUAUACAAUUAGUAGGUAGUUUUAUAAUUAAUGGUUAUAGACUUAUAGUAAAUUACGUCAGUUGGUUCUUUUUCAAUUUAAUUUUUUUCCUAAGUUUUUAUAUUAAACUUUCAAAAAAUUAAUAUCAUAAUAAUUGUCUUUUUUACCUAUUAGAUAGGUACCUAUAAUUUACAAUCAUGUGGUUAUUAGGAAGUAUAGAAAUUUAUUUACAAACAAUAUAAGUAGGUAGAACAGUUGGUAAUCUUUAGACAGUAGGUUUUAUCUAAAAAUCUUUUGAAGGGGAAUAGAUUCAUUAAUAAAAUGAUGAAUAUUAUAGUUUACAUUUUUCAUAGGUUGUUACCUAAUAGGUAUAGGUCACUACUUUAAAAUAAAGUUCCUACAGAUUAAUUGCCCGUUACGGUUUCAUUAAUGUAAGUAAAUCAUUAAUAAUUACAUAGAGUAGGUAUGUAAAAUAUGGUACUGUUUUGAAAAAAAAAAAAAAAAAAUGAUAAUAUAGGUAAGUAUUAGUUAGUAUCAGUAUCAGAAGCUUAUUUAUGGUAGCUGUAUUUUUAAGUUUAAUGUUUUAGAUUCUGAGUGGAGCGAGGAAUGUAUUAGUUUUACUAUGAUGUUUAUUUAUUUUAUUUUUUAUACUGUGUACUAGUGCCUAAUAAUAUAUGCUUCUAAGAUUCUCACAAAAAUAAUGCACAAAAGAAUAGUCAAAGAUAAAUACAAAUUUAGCUGGAGACUAAUUUGGUUUCAGGAAAAAUAGAGGCACUAGAGAGGCGAUAAUAUGCUUAAGAAUAAUCAUAGAGAAAAUGUUUAGAAUCAAUAAACCACUGUUUAUUGCCUUCUUAGAUCUGGAGAAGGCCUUCGAUAAUGUUUAAGGGAUAAAACUUUUUAGGGUUAUGGAAGACAUUGGAAUAGAUUAUAAUGAUAGAAAAAUUAUUCAUAAUCUGUACAUCAUUGAAAUUGCAGUUAUAAAAGUUGAAAAAGGUAACAACCAGGUGGAGACUAAAAUUGCUAAGGAGGUAAGACAAGGAUGCAAUCUAUCAUAUAUAUCUACAUAGAAGCCUUAAAAAGAAGUAAGAAAAGAAAAUUUUGGAGGAGCAUUUUGGUUGACACUUUCAUCAUUGUUCGGUGGUAGUAUCAUGAGAUUAAUAUAUUGUUUAUAUCAAUUAUAAUAUAUUUACUCAGCUGAUUAUAAUACUAGAAUCGCGAUAAAGAUAUUAAUCUGUAACCACAGACAUAAAACAAAAAUACACUCUGUAAUCGUGCGUGGUCUCUAAUCUGUAUACGAAUAUUAUGGAAAAUAAUAACGUUUCAAAACAAUUUGUAUUGAUUAUAUUUAUUUAUUUGAUUAUUAUCAAUAAAUAUCGGUUAAACAAGAAACUCCAUAUUACCGAAAAAAAAAAAGUCUAUGGGGGGUAUUUAUCCCUCAUAUCCCCCUCCCAAGAGAACGCCUAUGUUGUAGUAAAAUUGUUAUACUUAAUGCUUGAAAAUUUAAUGGAAAAUUCAUCAAAGGUCGUACAUUGUGGUCAAAAACAAAUUUGAGUUUAAUGUAGUAUUUUUUUUUUUAUAGGAGAAUUUUAUUAUCAAAUUUUAACAAGAGGAAAAGAGUAAGUGGAAAAAAAUCUAAUUUUAAAAAUUUUUGUUUUUUACAUUAUCAUGUAUAAUACUGAUUUAAGAACGAUGGUAAAGUCAGAAUUAUACGAACUGACCUAGUUUCGAAAUUAUAGCUUUUUGAAAUUUUGAUAAUAUGCAGUUAUUAUAAUAUGUUAUGUUUAAUAACUUAAUAUUGUCUAUUGUCAAUUUUAUUGUAUUUUUGUCGUACUCUAUAGGUAGUAUGUACCUAUUGUCAUCCUAGAAAUUAUCAGUUCUCAAACCUGUGUUUCAAAAAAAAAAAAUAAUCUUUUGUUGGUAUUUAUUUUUUCCAUACAUUUUGGGUGUACCUAGAGACCAAAGCCAUCGCUCACUCGGUUUAUUUAAAUUAAUAAAAUACCUCUCGAUUUGUUGUGCAAAUUUUUCUACCGGAAAUUUUGCUCCGAUGUAUCAAGCACAUUUUCUGAAAGGAAAUCUUAUUUACGUUGCACUUAAAGGACGUCAUUUUUUGAUUUUCCCAGAAGUUUUCCUAAUUAAAGGCAAAAAACGGGAAAAUAAAUAAACAAAUAUUAUUAAAGAAAAAUAUAUUAUGUAUAUGUAUUUAUUUUACAAAAAUCUGGUAUACCUAUUGUCGACAAAGCAAUACUAUCAACCGAACUUCACUUAGAAUCGUUUUUCGUUAGCAAUGGUUAAUCGUUGCUUACAGAUAUACAUUAAAUUUCCCCUCUACCUUCUAAACUUUUCUCCUAUAACAGUGGCCCACCCACGUGCGAAAUGUCUGUAUUUUUUUUAAACACAUAUUUUCUUUGAUGCCUUCUGGGAACAUUUCAAUUUUAAACUAUUUUCAACUUAUGCUGGGUUGUAUUAGCAAAACCAAGAUUAAUAAUUGUUUAAACAAAUUUUCCUCCGGAUUUUUUUACCUUUUACCUAAAUAAAUAUACAUAUACUUAAAUUAUUUUAGUUGUUAUUUCUACUGUACUACUGUAGACAUAUUACGCAUGUAUGAUGAAGCCAUUAUAGGUGAUGGUCAUUUUGGGACCAUAUAUCGUUUAGCGUAAGUAAUAUAUACUACUUGUCCGUGAACUAUGAUUUUAUGUUAAAUCUUUAUAUUUAUAGACAGAGUAAAAUAUCCUCUAUAAAAAAUAGGUCGUUUAAUAACAAUAGUUAUUUCGUAUAUUAUAUUGUGCGGAUAUCUGCCUAACGAUUUGUCAACUAUAUUAUUCGCGUGUAUCCUGUAAAUAUCUGAUUGGCAAAUCGACAAUAGUUACUAUAAAUAUAUAUUGUAUUGACCUUUUGGGAUUGAUAGAGUAUUUAAAACUAGGUAUGUACCUGUAUAUUAUAUUGAUCGUUGUUUUAUUUGUGUUCUUAAUAACGUAAUUAGCAACCUAUUAAUUCCGUGAAACUAAGAAUUAGAUUCAUUAAAAUUGUAAAACAAUUACCAUACCAACUCAAGAUACAUCAUUAGUUGAUUGUAAUCUUUAUUUUUUACAGAAAAUAGUAUUUAACACCACAUAUUUACUUUAUAUAUUCAUUAUUAUACUUACUAGGUACCUACAUAGGAGAUACCCAUAAAUACCUAUACUUGUUAGUUAUGAAGUUUUAAUCCAAAUUUAAAUUUUUGAUAUUUACCAGGAUAUUCUAGGCAAAUUAUAAUGAAUAUUAUUCGUUUAUUUUAUAUUAUGUACCUAAAUAGGCACAAAAUGUACGUGCCGUCGCACUUUUAUACCUAUUAUUCUAACACCAACAUUGAAAAUGGGUAUAAUUUUAAGUUACAGUGUAACAGUUCAUUGUAGGCCAUAUUUAAUUUUUGUGACUGUAUAACUAUUUUAGAAAAUAAUUAUUUUUUGUAGUAGGUACAGAAUUGGUUAGAAAUCUAGAAUUUGUUGUUUGAUAAUACGGGUAAAAAAUUUAUCAAUGGAGUUAAUUCGACGAAAAACCGCUGGGCUCCAACAUGAAUUGAAUUUCAAUAAAAUGUAAUAUAUAAUUCCAAUGAGAAAAAUUAUCCUAUACUAAUUUUAAAACAAAAAAAACAUUGUACGUCCUACAGUAUGUACGGUUAAGUAGAAGUACUAGUAAUGGGUACUCCGAAAAAAAAAAAAAAAACGAAAGUACAUGAUAUACUUGUCGAAUGACGUUUUAAAAUAAUGUACUAUAUUAUAUUCACACAUCAUUGUGCGUAUAUUUUACCCGCGUAAAAUUAGUUUUUCUGUGCGCAUAGUGCAUAACGCAGUGCGUUCGUUGUUUGGGUCUUUUGUUUUUUCGUAUUGAAAAAUUGAAUAUUAAUACUCGUAUGAUGUUAGACACUAUGACGACAACUGCCCCUCCCAUGAAUGGCGGCAGCAACGACCGUCGUGUAGAAGCAGGUAGAGGGCGUUCGGGCCGUAUGCAAGGACGCUGUGUGACGCUGUUGAUUGUCUAACCUCCCAGGUACGUACGCAGCGUCGGUGUGCGAACGGACAAAGACAAGGGAGCUGCCGCGGUGGUGGGAGAGAGACAG